Molecule: ribosomal RNA, 253 nt
Filed under: uncultured bacterium
Lineage: Bacteria
Description: partial 16S ribosomal RNA
Rfam family: Bacterial small subunit ribosomal RNA
Source: RNAcentral
UACGUAGGCAGCAAGCGUUGUUCGGAGUUACUGGGCGUAAAGAGUGUGUAGGAGGUUAGCUUAGUCUGGUGUGAAAUCUUCCGGCUUAACCGGGAGGCUGCGCCGGAUACUGGCUGGCUAGAGUAUGGGAGAGGGAAGCGGAAUUCCUGGUGUAGCGGUGAAAUGCGUAGAUAUCAGGAGGAACACCUGUGGUGUAGACGGCUUCCUGGACCAUUACUGACUCUGAGACACGAAAGCGUGGGGAGCAAACAGG